This 22-nucleotide microRNA is filed under the name Arabidopsis thaliana (thale cress). Its description in RNAcentral is "ath-miR4221". The record is from miRBase by way of RNAcentral. Lineage: Eukaryota; Viridiplantae; Streptophyta; Magnoliopsida; Brassicales; Brassicaceae.
UUUUCCUCUGUUGAAUUCUUGC